Hibiscus syriacus is the source of this 1403-nucleotide RNA transcript. It is a transcript of the gene named probable tRNA N6-adenosine threonylcarbamoyltransferase, with no coding region annotated. The transcript has 6 exons. The record is from RefSeq and is a predicted model, not a curated record. Lineage: Eukaryota; Viridiplantae; Streptophyta; Magnoliopsida; Malvales; Malvaceae.
GGAAACAACAGUAAGCAGGAACCCUAUUCUGUUUCUAUCUUCUCUCUCUCUGUUUCCACUGUCAGUAGCCGUUGUUGCUUCCCGCUCCACGGCACAGCUGCUCAUUUCAAACGCCAUUUUUGAAGGCCGCUAAGGUUCUCAUAUAUCUUCACUUAUCUUAGCUUGGUACUUGGCACAUUACAUUUCUGUGAAAAUGAAGAAGAUGAUAGCCCUCGGUUUUGAAGGAUCGGCCAACAAGAUUGGUGUUGGCGUUGUGACAUUAGACGGCACCAUUUUGUCGAACCCGCGUCACACCUACAUUACGCCGCCUGGCCAAGGUUUCCUUCCACGGGAAACUGCCCAGCACCAUCUCCAGCAUGUUCUCCCACUGGUUAAAUCGGCUUUAAAAGAGGCCCAGAUAACCCCUGAUGACAUCGACUGCCUUUGUUACACCAAGGGUCCUGGUAUGGGUGCACCGUUACAAGUGUCCGCCAUUGUUGUUAGGGUUCUUUCGCUGCUGUGGAAGAAGCCAAUUGUUGCGGUUAACCACUGUGUUGCACAUAUUGAGAUGGGAAGGAUCGUUACCGGAGCAGACGAUCCCGUUGUGUUGUAUGUUAGUGGUGGGAAUACUCAGGUUAUUGCCUAUAGUGAAGGGCGGUACAGAAUAUUUGGAGAGACUAUUGAUAUUGCUGUUGGGAAUUGCUUGGAUCGGUUCGCUCGAGUUUUGACCCUCUCAAAUGAUCCAAGCCCUGGAUAUAACAUCGAGCAGCUAGCAAAGAAAGGCGAAAAGUUUAUUGAUCUUCCGUAUGUCGUCAAAGGGAUGGAUGUUUCCUUUAGUGGAAUAUUGAGCUACAUUGAAGCCACUGCAGAGGAGAAGCUCAAAAAUAAUGAAUGCACCCCUGCGGAUUUAUGCUAUUCGCUUCAGGAAACUCUAUUUGCAAUGCUUGUGGAGAUUACGGAACGAGCAAUGGCUCAUUGCGACUCGAAAGAUGUUCUCAUAGUUGGUGGUGUGGGCUGCAACGAGCGGUUACAAGAGAUGAUGCGGACAAUGUGUUCCGAACGAGGUGGAAGACUGUUUGCUACUGAUGACAGGUACUGCAUUGACAAUGGAGCAAUGAUUGCGUAUACGGGUCUCCUUGCCUAUGCUCAUGGAUCCACAACACCACUCGAGGAGUCGACAUUCACUCAGCGGUUCCGGACCGAUGAGGUGCAUGCAAUCUGGAGGGAGAAACAGGAGUCUGGCGACUCGAGUGGUCCUGCAGAUGGGGGAAAUUAGAUGCUAGUUUAUUAAGGUUUCAAUGAUUGUUGCAUGUCCCAGAUACGGGAUCUUGUAGUAGACUUUACCAGGAAAGGUUAAAGAACAAACUUUACUUUGUAUUAUGAAUUUGUCUGAAUUACUUCUUAUUUGGAAACUUAGAAUUUCA